AUCAAUAAGCGGAGGAAAAGAAACCAACAGGGAUUGCCCCAGUAACGGCGAGUGAAGCGGCAACAGCUCAAAUUUGAAAUCUGGCUUCGGCCCGAGUUGUAAUUUGUAGAGGAUGCUUUUGGUGCGGUGCCUUCUGAGUUCCCUGGAACGGGACGCCAGAGAGGGUGAGAGCCCCGUAUAGUUGGACACCAAGCCUUUGUAAAGCUCCUUCGACGAGUCGAGUAGUUUGGGAAUGCUGCUCAAAAUGGGAGGUAUAUCUCUUCUAAAGCUAAAUAUUGGCCAGAGACCGAUAGCGCACAAGUAGAGUGAUCGAAAGAUGAAAAGCACUUUGAAAAGAGAGUUAAAAGGGCUUGAAAUUGUUGAGGGGGAAGGAAAUGGUUGUCGGUGUGCACUUUGGUUUUAUGUUUAGUUAACGCUAAGCCUAUCAACGCAUUGUGCUGGUCAGCGUGGGUUGGACGGGCGGUAUAACCUUGUACUGCCGCCUGUCCGACCGAGGUCGGAGGUAACGCUCGAGACGCUGGCGGAAGAUAACCAUUUCACCCGUCUUGUAACACGGACCAAG
This 562-nucleotide ribosomal RNA is filed under the name Picochlorum sp. RCC944. RNAcentral describes it as "partial Eukaryotic large subunit ribosomal RNA". It matches the Rfam family "Eukaryotic large subunit ribosomal RNA", at positions 42 to 670 of the family's 3401-position model. Lineage: Eukaryota; Viridiplantae; Chlorophyta; Trebouxiophyceae. The record is from RNAcentral.